UUACUACUCCAUCCAUCCGAAAAAGCUUGUCCCUCAAAUGGAUGUAUGUAGCAUCAAGUUAGUGCUAGAUACAUCCAUUUGGGGAAUAAGCUUGAGACAAGCUUUUUCGGACUGAGGGAGUAUAUG
Triticum aestivum (bread wheat) is the source of this 126-nucleotide non-coding RNA. The record is from Rfam. Lineage: Eukaryota; Viridiplantae; Streptophyta; Magnoliopsida; Poales; Poaceae.